Molecule: ribosomal RNA, 253 nt
Filed under: uncultured bacterium
Lineage: Bacteria
Description: partial 16S ribosomal RNA
Rfam family: Bacterial small subunit ribosomal RNA
Source: RNAcentral
UACGGAGGGUGCAAGCGUUAAUCGGAGUUACUGGGCGUAAAGCGCACGCAGGCGGUAUGUAAAGUUAGAUGUGAAAGCCCCGGGCUCAACCCGGGAACUGCAUUCGAAACUGGCCGGCUAGAGUCUUGUAGAGGGGGGUAGAAUUCCAGGUGUAGCGGUGAAAUGCGUAGAGAUCUGGAGGAAUACCGGUGGCGAAGGCGGCCCCCUGGACAAAGACUGACGCUCAGGUGCGAAAGCGUGGGGAGCAAACAGG